Molecule: ribosomal RNA, 2902 nt
Filed under: Klebsiella pneumoniae
Lineage: Bacteria; Pseudomonadati; Pseudomonadota; Gammaproteobacteria; Enterobacterales; Enterobacteriaceae
Description: 23S ribosomal RNA
Rfam family: Bacterial large subunit ribosomal RNA
Source: RNAcentral
GGUUAAGCGACUAAGCGUACACGGUGGAUGCCCUGGCAGUCAGAGGCGAUGAAGGACGUGCUAAUCUGCGAAAAGCGUCGGUAAGGUGAUAUGAACCGUUAUAGCCGGCGAUGUCCGAAUGGGGAAACCCAGUGCAAUUCGUUGCACUAUCGUUAACUGAAUACAUAGGUUAACGAGGCGAACCGGGGGAACUGAAACAUCUAAGUACCCCGAGGAAAAGAAAUCAACCGAGAUUCCCCCAGUAGCGGCGAGCGAACGGGGAGCAGCCCAGAGUCUGAAUCAGCUUGUGUGUUAGUGGAACGGUCUGGAAAGUCCGACGGUACAGGGUGAUAGUCCCGUACACCAAAAUGCACAGGUUGUGAACUCGAAGAGUAGGGCGGGACACGUGGUAUCCUGUCUGAAUAUGGGGGGACCAUCCUCCAAGGCUAAAUACUCCUGACUGACCGAUAGUGAACCAGUACCGUGAGGGAAAGGCGAAAAGAACCCCGGCGAGGGGAGUGAAAAAGAACCUGAAACCGUGUACGUACAAGCAGUGGGAGCACCUUCGGGUGUGACUGCGUACCUUUUGUAUAAUGGGUCAGCGACUUAUAUUCUGUAGCAAGGUUAACCGUAUAGGGGAGCCGCAGGGAAACCGAGUCUUAACUGGGCGUUAAGUUGCAGGGUAUAGACCCGAAACCCGGUGAUCUAGCCAUGGGCAGGUUGAAGGUUGGGUAACACUAACUGGAGGACCGAACCGACUAAUGUUGAAAAAUUAGCGGAUGACUUGUGGCUGGGGGUGAAAGGCCAAUCAAACCGGGAGAUAGCUGGUUCUCCCCGAAAGCUAUUUAGGUAGCGCCUCGUGAACUCAUCUUCGGGGGUAGAGCACUGUUUCGGCUAGGGGGUCAUCCCGACUUACCAACCCGAUGCAAACUACGAAUACCGAAGAAUGUUAUCACGGGAGACACACGGCGGGUGCUAACGUCCGUCGUGAAGAGGGAAACAACCCAGACCGCCAGCUAAGGUCCCAAAGUCAUGGUUAAGUGGGAAACGAUGUGGGAAGGCACAGACAGCCAGGAUGUUGGCUUAGAAGCAGCCAUCAUUUAAAGAAAGCGUAAUAGCUCACUGGUCGAGUCGGCCUGCGCGGAAGAUGUAACGGGGCUAAACCAUGCACCGAAGCUGCGGCAGCGACACUAUGUGUUGUUGGGUAGGGGAGCGUUCUGUAAGCCUGCGAAGGUGACCUGUGAGGGUUGCUGGAGGUAUCAGAAGUGCGAAUGCUGACAUAAGUAACGAUAAAGCGGGUGAAAAGCCCGCUCGCCGGAAGACCAAGGGUUCCUGUCCAACGUUAAUCGGGGCAGGGUGAGUCGACCCCUAAGGCGAGGCCGAAAGGCGUAGUCGAUGGGAAACAGGUUAAUAUUCCUGUACUUGGUGUUACUGCGAAGGGGGGACGGAGAAGGCUAUGUUAGCCGGGCGACGGUUGUCCCGGUUUAAGCAUGUAGGCUGGUUGUCCAGGCAAAUCCGGAUAAUCAAGGCUGAGGUGUGAUGACGAGGCACUACGGUGCUGAAGUAACAAAUGCCCUGCUUCCAGGAAAAGCCUCUAAGCAUCAGGUAACAUCAAAUCGUACCCCAAACCGACACAGGUGGUCAGGUAGAGAAUACCAAGGCGCUUGAGAGAACUCGGGUGAAGGAACUAGGCAAAAUGGUGCCGUAACUUCGGGAGAAGGCACGCUGGUGUGUAGGUGAAGUCCCUGCGGAUGGAGCUGAGACCAGUCGAAGAUACCAGCUGGCUGCAACUGUUUAUUAAAAACACAGCACUGUGCAAACACGAAAGUGGACGUAUACGGUGUGACGCCUGCCCGGUGCCGGAAGGUUAAUUGAUGGGGUUAUCCGUAAGGAGAAGCUCUUGAUCGAAGCCCCGGUAAACGGCGGCCGUAACUAUAACGGUCCUAAGGUAGCGAAAUUCCUUGUCGGGUAAGUUCCGACCUGCACGAAUGGCGUAAUGAUGGCCAGGCUGUCUCCACCCGAGACUCAGUGAAAUUGAACUCGCUGUGAAGAUGCAGUGUACCCGCGGCAAGACGGAAAGACCCCGUGAACCUUUACUAUAGCUUGACACUGAACAUUGAGCCUUGAUGUGUAGGAUAGGUGGGAGGCUUUGAAGCGUGGACGCCAGUCUGCGUGGAGCCAACCUUGAAAUACCACCCUUUAAUGUUUGAUGUUCUAACGUUGGCCCCUGACCGGGGUUGCGGACAGUGUCUGGUGGGUAGUUUGACUGGGGCGGUCUCCUCCCAAAGCGUAACGGAGGAGCACGAAGGUUAGCUAAUCCUGGUCGGACAUCAGGAGGUUAGUGCAAUGGCAUAAGCUAGCUUGACUGCGAGCGUGACGGCGCGAGCAGGUGCGAAAGCAGGUCAUAGUGAUCCGGUGGUUCUGAAUGGAAGGGCCAUCGCUCAACGGAUAAAAGGUACUCCGGGGAUAACAGGCUGAUACCGCCCAAGAGUUCAUAUCGACGGCGGUGUUUGGCACCUCGAUGUCGGCUCAUCACAUCCUGGGGCUGAAGUAGGUCCCAAGGGUAUGGCUGUUCGCCAUUUAAAGUGGUACGCGAGCUGGGUUUAGAACGUCGUGAGACAGUUCGGUCCCUAUCUGCCGUGGGCGCUGGAGAAUUGAGGGGGGCUGCUCCUAGUACGAGAGGACCGGAGUGGACGCAUCACUGGUGUUCGGGUUGUCAUGCCAAUGGCACUGCCCGGUAGCUAAAUGCGGAAGAGAUAAGUGCUGAAAGCAUCUAAGCACGAAACUUGCCCCGAGAUGAGUUCUCCCUGAGACUUUAAGUCUCCUGAAGGAACGUUAAAGACGAUGACGUUGAUAGGCCGGGUGUGUAAGCGCAGCGAUGCGUUGAGCUAACCGGUACUAAUGAACCGUGAGGCUUAACCUU